Molecule: non-coding RNA, 817 nt
Organism: Chelonoidis abingdonii (Abingdon island giant tortoise)
Lineage: Eukaryota; Metazoa; Chordata; Testudines; Testudinidae
Source: RefSeq, a predicted model, not a curated record
GAUAACUAGUGUGGUCUGGCAGCCAUGACAUGAAGGAGAACGAUAUCUAUCCCCAAAGAACUGUGCAGAGGAUUAGUUAUAGAAUCUCUUUAAAGUGCUCUGAAGGUGUAAAUACGUGUAUGGAUUAUUUUUAUCUUCAGCAGAAUCAGUCAGGAGAUCAGAUCAGAGCCCCAGAAAAAAGCAGCAAUUACACCAGCUUUUUGAACUCUGAUACUUCCAGGCUUCAAAUUUGUUGAAGAAAGCACCCUGAGUUCACCAUGGUCAGAAUUCACACAGCCUAGACUGGGAGCUACGUAACAGUUACCUAAAGAAGAUGUAACGGAAAACCUGCUGGAACAGCCAGCUGGAGAGAAGCAAGUGUGAAUCUUCUGUGCAAAGGCUGUAAAGCUAGUCAUAUCUGUAAGUCUUUAUGGGAUCAAGCCUUAACAUUUCAUACAACGAUCUCACUAGUCACAUGCGUGGAGUGAGCGUUUAGAGGUUUGAAGCGCUGUACUGAAAUGAGCUAUCUUGAGAUCGCUACUGGCUCAGGAGACAGCUGAAGCAACUACAGUUACAGCAUUAUCCUGUUUACUUGCAAUAUCCUGUUGUUCAGAGGAGGAAGUCAACUCUAUGUUACUCUGACAUUCCCAGGGCAUAGAGAAGCUGUGUUUGUUGUGAUAUAAAGCUGAGUAAAUAUGAGAGGGGGUUCCUUUUGGGGCUCUCUAUUAUCUGACCCACAUUUCAUGUGAGCAUGGAUAUGUUCCACAAUGGUAAUAGAUACACAUUUCUGGGACAGGGGCAUCAGGUUGGUAUAAUUUUUGGUGGUGCCCAGAAUGGG